UGGGGAAUCUUGGACAAUGGGCGCAAGCCUGAUCCAGCCAUGCCGCGUGGAUGAUGAAGGCCUUAGGGUUGUAAAAUCCUUUCGCCGAGGACGAUAAUGACGGUACUCGGAGAAGAAGCUCCGGCUAACUUCGUGCCAGCAGCCGCGGUAAUACGAAGGGGGCUAGCGUUGUUCGGAUUUACUGGGCGUAAAGCGCGUGUAGGCGGGUCGUUAAGUUGGGGGUGAAAUCCCGAGGCUCAACCUCGGAACUGCCUUCAAAACUGGCGACCUGGACCUAAGUAGAGGCAAGUGGAAUUGCGAGUGUAGAGGUGAAAUUCGUAGAUAUUGGGAAGAACACCAGUGGCGAAGGCGGCUAACUGGUCCGGUACUGACGCUGAGGUGCGAAAGCGUGGGGAGCAAACAGGAUUAGAUACCCCAGUAGUCCCUGAGCGGGCUGGCAAGGCGCAU
RNAcentral lists this ribosomal RNA (447 nucleotides) under uncultured bacterium. Its description in RNAcentral is "bacterial SSU rRNA". It matches the Rfam family "Bacterial small subunit ribosomal RNA", at positions 355 to 825 of the family's 1533-position model. The record is from RNAcentral.